AUCUAGAAAAUUCUCAGAGACUUGUCACUUAUCCUGUCAAGUUCACAGCAAUGCCCAUCACAGAGUGUUUCUGGAAGUUAUCUGAUCCCUAGGUAAAAUCAUUGCGGAUGGAUGAGGAGGCCCAGAGCUCAACAGCUGAACGGCAUCACCAGGAAGUGGCAGCACCAUCACCAAGUGGAAUCACUCGCCUCAGGAAGCAGCAGCAGUCUCUAACACAGACAGGAAGUGGCAGCACUCCAGCAACAGGAAGUGGCAGCACUCCGGCAUCUGUACAGGAAGUGGUAACACUCCGGCAUCUCUACUGGAAGUGGCAGCACUCCGGCAUCUCUACAGGAAGUGGCAGCACUCCGGCAUCAGAACAGGAAGUGGCAGCACUCCUGCAUCUCUACAGGAAGUGGUAGCACUCCGGCAUCUGUACAGGAAGUGGUAGCACUCCAGCAUCAGAACAGGAAGUGGCAGCACCAUAUCAGGAAGUGGCAGUGUUAGACCUAGCUCAUUAAGCACCAAGAGGACAGAGAGAGACAACACUUAUGGAUCCCAAAUAAUUUGAAUAAUUUACCACAUAAGCAGGUUACUGAUUGAUGAGGGUUUGCAGGACUGUAAUGAUAUUAAUAGUCACAUAAAGUACUAAUUCUAGUAAAAGACUUCAUGUAUCUUCCUGUACAUGAUGGGUUCGAGUCUUACCAGGUAAAAUGGAGUCUGAAGUCAAGAUGGCAGUACUUAGGCCAAGGUGCUUCUGGCUGCUCCCUUCAUCAAUUAGACUGAUUUCUUUCGAAGAAGGAAAGAAGACUGAGUUGAUCUUAAAGGAAUCUCUUCAUUUGGAGUGAUGAUUUAGUUUUUGCAAAGUUUCUGAAGGCUCCACAUUGUUCUCUGUAAGGGACUUGACAGAACAGACUACACCCAGGCACCUUCAGGAUUGUGACACUGGCCCAUACACGCCAGGAAAUUUGAACUGACAGAAGCCCCUGCCUUCUGCUGUUUCAAGAGUGGCUUAGUGGAGCAAGACACCAGCCCAGAGCCCUUGGCUGAGCUAGAGGUCUGCAACCCCUUCCCCAGAGAUGGGAGCGCCUGGGGGCUGAGCGCCUUGGCAGCCAUGACAUUAAGCACUCAGAAUCCCUACUGAUGGUGCAGCCUCCUCCAACCGCAGUGAUUGGCUCAUAUAUGGCCACACGUGUUCUACACUGGGCCAAUCAUCUGGAUACAGGUACCUCCUUCUCGCCUGUGCAGUAAGGGACUCCUGGAACCACCACAGCUGUUUUGUGAUUAUGAGAGAAGUUAAUCUGAGGAUGAAGUACAAUGCCAACAUGGACACGAAAGAAGAGAUUUGCAGGAAAAGAACACAGACCGAUCACGCUUAACCUCAUUAGUGAUGUCAGCCCCAGUCUGGUAUUGUGUCAAUCCCUCUGAAUUCGGUUGUCUGUACCUGGUAACACAAAGAGUUAUUGACCAAUAUAACUUCUCUCUUACUGGUAGAUUAAUGUCGUUUCCCUAUACAUAACUCAUAACUCAAAACACAAAGAUGAAAAUGAAAACAGCUACAAUUUUGACAAACAGGAUAAUAGCCAUGAGCACUUUGGUGUUCCUUUUUCUUGGGCAGGAUGUAGAAAUUAAGAUUUACUGUACUGAAUAUUUUUAUUGUGUGAAAUUUCAUGUGUCCCAAUGGGAUCAUUAAAAAUGAUUUCCAAAA
This is a long non-coding RNA of Mesocricetus auratus (golden hamster), 1687 nucleotides long. RefSeq lists it as uncharacterized. Lineage: Eukaryota; Metazoa; Chordata; Mammalia; Rodentia; Cricetidae. The transcript has 4 exons. The record is from RefSeq and is a predicted model, not a curated record.